UACAGAGGUCCCAAGCGUUGUUCGGAUCCACUGGGCGUAAAGGGUGCGUAGGCGGUCGGGUAAGUCUGAUGUGAAAUCUCACAGCUUAACUGUGAAACUGCAUUGGAUACUAUCCGGCUAGAGGAAUGGAGGGGAGACUGGAAUACUUGGUGUAGCAGUGAAAUGCGUAGAUAUCAAGUGGAACACCAGUGGCGAAGGCGAGUCUCUGGACAUUUCCUGACGCUGAGGCACGAAAGCCAGGGGAGCAAACGGG
Molecule: ribosomal RNA, 253 nt
Filed under: uncultured bacterium
Lineage: Bacteria
Description: partial 16S ribosomal RNA
Rfam family: Bacterial small subunit ribosomal RNA
Source: RNAcentral